UCCCGCAAGGGAUUUGUAGCGUGGCAAACGGGUGAGUAACACGUGGGUGACCUGCCUUCGAGCGGGGGAUAACGUUCCGAAAGGGACGCUAAUACCGCAUAACAUCCUGCUUUUGAAUAAGCGGAGAUCAAAGCCGGGGAUCGCAAGACCUGGCACUUGAAGAGGGGCCCGCGCCUGAUUAGCUAGUUGGUGAGGUAACGGCUCACCAAGGCGACGAUCAGUAGCUGGUCUGAGAGGAUGAUCAGCCACAUUGGGACUGAGACACGGCCCAAACUCCUACGGGAGGCAGCAGUGGGGAAUAUUGGACAAUGGGCGCAAGCCUGAUCCAGCCAUGCCGCGUGAGUGAUGAAGGCCCUAGGG
RNAcentral lists this ribosomal RNA (360 nucleotides) under uncultured bacterium. Its description in RNAcentral is "bacterial SSU rRNA". It matches the Rfam family "Bacterial small subunit ribosomal RNA", at positions 75 to 422 of the family's 1533-position model. The record is from RNAcentral.